This is a non-coding RNA of Pelobates cultripes (western spadefoot toad), 248 nucleotides long. The record is from the annotation of a GenBank genome assembly. Lineage: Eukaryota; Metazoa; Chordata; Amphibia; Anura; Pelobatidae.
CUGUGAGUGAAUGUGUGUGUUGGUCAGUGAGUGUAUAUGUGUCGGUCAGUGAGUGUAUAUGUGUCGGUCAGUGAGUGUGUAUGUGUCAGUCAGUGAGUGUGUAUGUGUCGUCAGUGAGUGUGUAUGUGUCGUCAGUGAGUGUGCGUCUGUCAGUCAAAGUGCGGCCUUGACAGGAAGGGGUGGGGGAAAUUUAAACUCGGUUACAGGCAUGUACACACACACUCAGUUAAAGGCAGUCACACAUACAG